GGUGUCCUGGCGCAAUGGUAGCGCGUUGGUUUUCGGUCUUCGCUGAAACACGCCAAAGGUUGUAGGUUCGAGCCCUGCGGACAUCG
RNAcentral lists this transfer RNA (86 nucleotides) under Didymella pomorum. RNAcentral describes it as "Peyronellaea pomorum tRNA". It matches the Rfam family "tRNA". From Rfam's summary of the family: Transfer RNA (tRNA) molecules are approximately 80 nucleotides in length. Their secondary structure includes four short double-helical elements and three loops (D, anti-codon, and T loops). Further hydrogen bonds mediate the characteristic L-shaped molecular structure. tRNAs have two regions of fundamental functional importance: the anti-codon, which is responsible for specific mRNA codon recognition, and the 3' end, to which the tRNAs corresponding amino acid is attached (by aminoacyl-tRNA synthetases). tRNAs cope with the degeneracy of the genetic code in two manners: having more than one tRNA (with a specific anti-codon) for a particular amino acid; and 'wobble' base-pairing, i.e. permitting non-standard base-pairing at the 3rd anti-codon position. Lineage: Eukaryota; Fungi; Ascomycota; Dothideomycetes; Pleosporales; Didymellaceae. The record is from Rfam by way of RNAcentral. RNAcentral also lists the same sequence under 1 other name.